RNAcentral lists this ribosomal RNA (2553 nucleotides) under Klebsiella pneumoniae. RNAcentral describes it as "bacterial LSU rRNA". It matches the Rfam family "Bacterial large subunit ribosomal RNA", at positions 402 to 2925 of the family's 2925-position model. The record is from RNAcentral. Lineage: Bacteria; Pseudomonadati; Pseudomonadota; Gammaproteobacteria; Enterobacterales; Enterobacteriaceae.
AACUCGAAGAGUAGGGCGGGACACGUGGUAUCCUGUCUGAAUAUGGGGGGACCAUCCUCCAAGGCUAAAUACUCCUGACUGACCGAUAGUGAACCAGUACCGUGAGGGAAAGGCGAAAAGAACCCCGGCGAGGGGAGUGAAAAAGAACCUGAAACCGUGUACGUACAAGCAGUGGGAGCACCUUCGGGUGUGACUGCGUACCUUUUGUAUAAUGGGUCAGCGACUUAUAUUCUGUAGCAAGGUUAACCGUAUAGGGGAGCCGCAGGGAAACCGAGUCUUAACUGGGCGUUAAGUUGCAGGGUAUAGACCCGAAACCCGGUGAUCUAGCCAUGGGCAGGUUGAAGGUUGGGUAACACUAACUGGAGGACCGAACCGACUAAUGUUGAAAAAUUAGCGGAUGACUUGUGGCUGGGGGUGAAAGGCCAAUCAAACCGGGAGAUAGCUGGUUCUCCCCGAAAGCUAUUUAGGUAGCGCCUCGUGAACUCAUCUUCGGGGGUAGAGCACUGUUUCGGCUAGGGGGUCAUCCCGACUUACCAACCCGAUGCAAACUACGAAUACCGAAGAAUGUUAUCACGGGAGACACACGGCGGGUGCUAACGUCCGUCGUGAAGAGGGAAACAACCCAGACCGCCAGCUAAGGUCCCAAAGUCAUGGUUAAGUGGGAAACGAUGUGGGAAGGCACAGACAGCCAGGAUGUUGGCUUAGAAGCAGCCAUCAUUUAAAGAAAGCGUAAUAGCUCACUGGUCGAGUCGGCCUGCGCGGAAGAUGUAACGGGGCUAAACCAUGCACCGAAGCUGCGGCAGCGACACUAUGUGUUGUUGGGUAGGGGAGCGUUCUGUAAGCCUGCGAAGGUGUGCUGUGAGGCAUGCUGGAGGUAUCAGAAGUGCGAAUGCUGACAUAAGUAACGAUAAAGCGGGUGAAAAGCCCGCUCGCCGGAAGACCAAGGGUUCCUGUCCAACGUUAAUCGGGGCAGGGUGAGUCGACCCCUAAGGCGAGGCCGAAAGGCGUAGUCGAUGGGAAACAGGUUAAUAUUCCUGUACUUGGUGUUACUGCGAAGGGGGGACGGAGAAGGCUAUGUUAGCCGGGCGACGGUUGUCCCGGUUUAAGCAUGUAGGCUGAUUGUCCAGGCAAAUCCGGAUAAUCAAGGCUGAGGUGUGAUGACGAGGCACUACGGUGCUGAAGUAACAAAUGCCCUGCUUCCAGGAAAAGCCUCUAAGCAUCAGGUAACAUCAAAUCGUACCCCAAACCGACACAGGUGGUCAGGUAGAGAAUACCAAGGCGCUUGAGAGAACUCGGGUGAAGGAACUAGGCAAAAUGGUGCCGUAACUUCGGGAGAAGGCACGCUGGUGUGUAGGUGAAGUCCCUGCGGAUGGAGCUGAGACCAGUCGAAGAUACCAGCUGGCUGCAACUGUUUAUUAAAAACACAGCACUGUGCAAACACGAAAGUGGACGUAUACGGUGUGACGCCUGCCCGGUGCCGGAAGGUUAAUUGAUGGGGUUAUCCGUAAGGAGAAGCUCUUGAUCGAAGCCCCGGUAAACGGCGGCCGUAACUAUAACGGUCCUAAGGUAGCGAAAUUCCUUGUCGGGUAAGUUCCGACCUGCACGAAUGGCGUAAUGAUGGCCAGGCUGUCUCCACCCGAGACUCAGUGAAAUUGAACUCGCUGUGAAGAUGCAGUGUACCCGCGGCAAGACGGAAAGACCCCGUGAACCUUUACUAUAGCUUGACACUGAACAUUGAGCCUUGAUGUGUAGGAUAGGUGGGAGGCUUUGAAGCGUGGACGCCAGUCUGCGUGGAGCCAACCUUGAAAUACCACCCUUUAAUGUUUGAUGUUCUAACGUUGGCCCCUGACCGGGGUUGCGGACAGUGUCUGGUGGGUAGUUUGACUGGGGCGGUCUCCUCCCAAAGCGUAACGGAGGAGCACGAAGGUUAGCUAAUCCUGGUCGGACAUCAGGAGGUUAGUGCAAUGGCAUAAGCUAGCUUGACUGCGAGCGUGACGGCGCGAGCAGGUGCGAAAGCAGGUCAUAGUGAUCCGGUGGUUCUGAAUGGAAGGGCCAUCGCUCAACGGAUAAAAGGUACUCCGGGGAUAACAGGCUGAUACCGCCCAAGAGUUCAUAUCGACGGCGGUGUUUGGCACCUCGAUGUCGGCUCAUCACAUCCUGGGGCUGAAGUAGGUCCCAAGGGUAUGGCUGUUCGCCAUUUAAAGUGGUACGCGAGCUGGGUUUAGAACGUCGUGAGACAGUUCGGUCCCUAUCUGCCGUGGGCGCUGGAGAAUUGAGGGGGGCUGCUCCUAGUACGAGAGGACCGGAGUGGACGCAUCACUGGUGUUCGGGUUGUCAUGCCAAUGGCACUGCCCGGUAGCUAAAUGCGGAAGAGAUAAGUGCUGAAAGCAUCUAAGCACGAAACUUGCCCCGAGAUGAGUUCUCCCUGAGACUUUAAGUCUCCUGAAGGAACGUUAAAGACGAUGACGUUGAUAGGCCGGGUGUGUAAGCGCAGCGAUGCGUUGAGCUAACCGGUACUAAUGAACCGUGAGGCUUAACCUUACAACGCCGAAG